This 870-nucleotide ribosomal RNA is filed under the name Ectopseudomonas oleovorans. RNAcentral describes it as "bacterial SSU rRNA". It matches the Rfam family "Bacterial small subunit ribosomal RNA", at positions 18 to 884 of the family's 1533-position model. Lineage: Bacteria; Pseudomonadati; Pseudomonadota; Gammaproteobacteria; Pseudomonadales; Pseudomonadaceae. The record is from RNAcentral.
UUCUGCUCAGAUUGAACGCUGGCGGCAGGCCUAACACAUGCAAGUCGAGCGGAUGAGAGGAGCUUGCUCCUUGAUUUAGCGGCGGACGGGUGAGUAAUGCCUAGGAAUCUGCCUGGUAGUGGGGGAUAACGUCCGGAAACGGGCGCUAAUACCGCAUACGUCCUACGGGAGAAAGCAGGGGACCUUCGGGCCUUGCGCUAUCAGAUGAGCCUAGGUCGGAUUAGCUUGUUGGUGAGGUAAUGGCUCACCAAGGCGACGAUCCGUAACUGGUCUGAGAGGAUGAUCAGUCACACUGGAACUGAGACACGGUCCAGACUCCUACGGGAGGCAGCAGUGGGGAAUAUUGGACAAUGGGCGAAAGCCUGAUCCAGCCAUGCCGCGUGUGUGAAGAAGGUCUUCGGAUUGUAAAGCACUUUAAGUUGGGAGGAAGGGCAUUAACCUAAUACGUUAGUGUUUUGACGUUACCGACAGAAUAAGCACCGGCUAACUUCGUGCCAGCAGCCGCGGUAAUACGAAGGGUGCAAGCGUUAAUCGGAAUUACUGGGCGUAAAGCGCGCGUAGGUGGUUCGUUAAGUUGGAUGUGAAAGCCCCGGGCUCAACCUGGGAACUGCAUCCAAAACUGGCGAGCUAGAGUACGGUAGAGGGUGGUGGAAUUUCCUGUGUAGCGGUGAAAUGCGUAGAUAUAGGAAGGAACACCAGUGGCGAAGGCGACCACCUGGACUGAUACUGACACUGAGGUGCGAAAGCGUGGGGAGCAAACAGGAUUAGAUACCCUGGUAGUCCACGCCGUAAACGAUGUCAACUAGCCGUUGGGUUCCUUGAGAACUUAGUGGCGCAGCUAACGCAUUAAGUGACCGCCUGGGGAGGCCC